This 396-nucleotide ribosomal RNA is filed under the name uncultured bacterium. RNAcentral describes it as "partial 16S ribosomal RNA". It matches the Rfam family "Bacterial small subunit ribosomal RNA", at positions 523 to 917 of the family's 1533-position model. The record is from RNAcentral.
AUACGUAGGGGGCAAGCGUUGUCCGGAAUGAUUGGGCGUAAAGGGCGCGUAGGCGGCCCGGUAAGUCUGAAGUGAAAGUCCUGGUUUUAAGCUGGGAAUUGCUUUGGAUACUGUCGGGCUUGAGUGCAGGAGAGGUAAGUGGAAUUCCCAGUGUAGCGGUGAAAUGCGUAGAGAUUGGGAGGAACACCAGUGGCGAAGGCGACUUACUGGACUGUAACUGACGCUGAGGCGCGAAAGUGUGGGGAGCAAACAGGAUUAGAUACCCUGGUAGUCCACACUGUAAACGAUGAAUGCUAGGUGUGGGGGGUAUCGACCCCUUCUGUGCCGCAGUUAACACAAUAAGCAUUCCGCCUGGGGAGUACGGCCGCAAGGUUGAAACUUAAAUGAAUUGACGGG